This 72-nucleotide transfer RNA is filed under the name Alosa alosa (allis shad). Its description in RNAcentral is "tRNA-OTHER". Lineage: Eukaryota; Metazoa; Chordata; Actinopteri; Clupeiformes; Clupeidae. The record is from RNAcentral.
GCCGUGGCCUACUGGUUAGCGCUUCGGACUUGUAACCGGAGGAUUGCCGGUUCGAACCCCGACCAGUAGGCA